Long non-coding RNA from Drosophila novamexicana, 791 nucleotides. RefSeq lists it as uncharacterized. The record is from RefSeq and is a predicted model, not a curated record. Lineage: Eukaryota; Metazoa; Arthropoda; Insecta; Diptera; Drosophilidae. The transcript is spliced from 4 exons.
UAAGGACAAGGUGAAUAUCUCUAACUAGAUGGUUAUUAAACUAUCGAUAGGCUGAUUCGUAAGAGAAUGGAUAGGGUACAAUCGAACGCGACUAACAUCGGUCAUACUCGAUUUGAUAUUAUUUUGUUUAAGACUCGUCAUUCACGAAUAUUAGCUUGCAACAUUUUGAUACUGCAAAAUAUUUAAGCACAUUAAAGUUGGCAAAUAUUUGAGCUGUUUGCAUUCACAAAUUGUAAAUUCAAUAAUUGGUUCCAGCAUAUAGAUAUAGACAGAGCUAUCUUGGAUGGCGUCCAUGAUACAGCGAAGAUAAGAGCUGCUCAUAUUGUACUUUCUUCAAACAUUCCAACAAUUACUACGGGGCUGUUAUAUCACCAGCAAUAUUUACUCAGUUGCAACUAUAUAAGUAUGAUCCAUAUUGUAAUAGAUUUCUGUUAAUAUUAGUAUCAGAAUAUCCAUCAAUAGCUUCAAAACUACCUAACUGGGCCUAUAUGUAUCAAGAAAUCAACAUUCAUUAACUGGAGAUUUGCAAUUAUAUCAACUGAUGGUCGACUACUUAUUGCAUCAUACAUAUACAUAUAUAGCAGACGGAAUCAAAUCAUUAAAAAUGUAUUACUGUCAAAAUACAACUACCUACGAUAUUCAAUAACAAUAAAAAAUUGAGAUCCGCCAAAACAAAACCAAAUCAGAUGCAUCGUUUGCGUGAAAAGCUUCAAUGUUCAAGUGAAAAUGCUACAGAAAGCUCGCCGGCAUGGUCGUUCUGCGGGCGGUGCUGCGGAGAGAGACUACAGCUA